This 1545-nucleotide long non-coding RNA is filed under the name Phasianus colchicus (ring-necked pheasant). Its description in RNAcentral is "lncRNA (ENSPCLG00000000687.1)". The record is from RNAcentral. Lineage: Eukaryota; Metazoa; Chordata; Aves; Galliformes; Phasianidae.
GGUGGAGUUUGGCUUCUCCCAGCACACCAAUGGCACAGGCAUCCUGAGAGCCAUCCAGCAGCUGAGCUACAAGGGCGGCAACACACGGACCGGCACUGGGCUGCGCUACGUCUCUGACAACUUCUUUGGUCCCACACAGCUCCGGCCCGGAGUCCCAAAGGUAUGGGGUGGGGAGUGGCAUUUGGGACGUCCCAGAGGUCCAUGGGGCUGAGGCUCACGGCUCUGCAGAUCUGCAUCCUCAUCACGGAUGGCAAGUCCCAGGAUGAUGCUGAGCAGCCGGCACUGAGGUUGAAGAGCCAGGGCAUCAAGGUCUUUGCUGUGGGGAUCAAGAAUGCCGACCGCCAGGAGCUGAUCCGCGUGGCCUCACUGCCUACUGACUCCUUCUUCUUCUAUGUGGGUGACUUCAAGCUGCUGGGGACACUGGUGCCACUGAUGACACGCAGGGUGUGCACAAGCUCAGGGGGCACGCUACGCACCCCUGGUAGGAGACCUUCAAAAGAGGGCAUGGGAGCUGCCUUAAUGCCUUCUCCCCACGCACCCCGGAGCUGACAGCCCCACGUCCCCCCACAGAUGGAGCAGGCCAUGCUGGUCCCUCCAACCUGGAGGUCCUGGAGCACGGCCCCGAUGUGCUGCGCAUCCGCUGGAGCCCAGCCAGCGGUCCCGUCACCGGCUAUAGGGUGCAGCGUGUCCCACUGACGGGGCUGGGGCAGCCGCUGGCAGCUGAGCGACAGGAGGUGAGCGCUGCCCUGUGCCCACUUGGGGUGCCUGGUGCCCACCGGCAUCGGGGUGACACUGCUCUCUCCCAGGUGAGUGUGGGUCCGCGGGAGACAAGCACUGUGCUGCGGGGGCUGCGUGCAGGGACGGAGUACCUGGUGACUGUCAUCGCUCAGUAUGCCAACAGCGUCAGUGAGUCGGUGUCUGCGCGGGCACGCACCCGUGAGUACAUGUGGGGAUGGGGAAUGUGGGUAGGUGCUGGCAGCACGUGGCCCUCAUUUGUCCCCUUGCUGUCCCCAGAGAGUCGUGGCGGCGUGCAGCAUUUCCACGUGGUCGAGGCUGGGCCGACCUUCCUGAGGCUGUCCUGGCAGCCCGGCCCCGAGCCACCCCAGGGCUACAUCCUCAGCUACGCCGUGCCAGGAAUGCCCCAGAGUGAGGAGAGGAGCCUGGGGGCUGGUGCACUGUCGGCCACACUCAGCAACCUGCGCCCCAACACCGAGUACGUGGUGACGCUGCGGGCACGCUAUGUGCAGCAGCCUGCAGCCACUGCCAGCCUCACUGCGCGGACACGUAAGCACCACGCAGCUGUCCCCGUGCAGGGGCAUCACCUGUGGUGGGACAAGGAGAUGGGAUGGCACAGCCUAUGGGUCCCUUUUGCAGAGGCAGGCACGGAGCAGACGCUGCGGACCAACAUCCUGAGCCCCACAUCCAUUCAGGUGCUCUGGACUGCCAUCCGUGAGGCCCGUGGCUACCGCCUGGAGUGGAAAAGAGCUACAGGUGGGCUCACUGCACCUGGUCCCAGACAUGAAUGAGGCCAGCAGCAACCCCUUU